RNAcentral lists this ribosomal RNA (531 nucleotides) under Acanthanas pusillus. Its description in RNAcentral is "partial large subunit ribosomal RNA". It matches the Rfam family "Bacterial large subunit ribosomal RNA", at positions 1832 to 2625 of the family's 2925-position model. Lineage: Eukaryota; Metazoa; Arthropoda; Malacostraca; Decapoda; Alpheidae. The record is from RNAcentral.
GUCUGCUUGAAGGAUAAGAAGUCUAACCUGCCCACUGAUUGUUAAAGGGCUGCGGUAAUUUGACCGUGCGAAGGUAGCAUAAUAAUUAGUCUUUUAAUUGAAGGCUUGAAUGAACGGUUGGACAGUAGAGAAGCUGUCUCUUUUGUUUUACUUAAAUUUGACUUUUAUGUGAAAAGGCAUAAAUAUUUUAAGGGGACGAUAAGACCCUAUAAAAUUUCAUAUAGGAUAAUAUAAUCUGGAAAUUAAUAAACUAGAUUAUAAUAUAAAUAUUUUACUGGGGCGGUAGAGAUAUAAUUUUAUGUAACUGUUUAUGAAUUUAAAUGUUAGUGAGUAGAUAUUGAUCCAUUAGAUGAUGAUUUGAAGAUUAAAUUACUUUAGGGAUAACAGCGUUAUUUUUUUUGAGAGUUCUUAUCGACAAAAUUAGUUGCGACCUCGAUGUUGAAUUAAGGUAACUUUUAGGUGCAGGCGCUUAGAGAGUAGGUCUGUUCGACCUUUUAUUCCUUACAUGAUUUGAGUUCAGACCGGUGUGAG